Molecule: non-coding RNA, 29 nt
Filed under: Mus musculus (house mouse)
Lineage: Eukaryota; Metazoa; Chordata; Mammalia; Rodentia; Muridae
Source: RNAcentral
UCCCAAGUCAGCCACUUCAGGAACUCUGA